CCAAACCCCUGUGACAUACCACUUGUUGCCUCGGCGGAUCAGCCCGCUCCCGGUAAAACGGGACGGCCCGCCAGAGGACCCCUAAACUCUGUUUCUAUAUGUAACUUCUGAGUAAAACCAUAAAUAAAUCAAAACUUUCAACAACGGAUCUCUUGGUUCUGGCAUCGAUGAAGAACGCAGCAAAAUGCGAUAAGUAAUGUGAAUUGCAGAAUUCAGUGAAUCAUCGAAUCUUUGAACGCACAUUGCGCCCGCCAGUAUUCUGGCGGGCAUGCCUGUUCGAGCGUCAUUUCAACCCUCAAGCACAGCUUGGUGUUGGGACUCGCGUUAAUUCGCGUUCCUCAAAUUGAUUGGCGGUCACGUCGAGCUUCCAUAGCGUAGUAGUAAAACCCUCGUUACUGGUAAUCGUCGCGGCCACGCCGUUAAACCCCAACUUCUGAAUGUUGACCUCGGAUCAGGUAGGAAUACCCGCUGAACUUAAGCAUAUCAAUAAGCGGAGGA
Molecule: ribosomal RNA, 498 nt
Filed under: Fusarium oxysporum
Lineage: Eukaryota; Fungi; Ascomycota; Sordariomycetes; Hypocreales; Nectriaceae
Description: eukaryotic LSU rRNA
Rfam family: 5.8S ribosomal RNA (bases 133-286)
Source: RNAcentral